UCAUUGAAUUUCACGGGAGUCAAGAUGUAGAGGAGGCUAUCUUGCGUAGGAGGAAGGUGUUAGCGGUCAGUGCAGG
This 76-nucleotide transfer RNA is filed under the name Thalassiosira punctigera. The record is from RNAcentral. Lineage: Eukaryota; Bacillariophyta; Thalassiosirophyceae; Thalassiosirales; Thalassiosiraceae.